This 253-nucleotide ribosomal RNA is filed under the name uncultured bacterium. Its description in RNAcentral is "partial 16S ribosomal RNA". It matches the Rfam family "Bacterial small subunit ribosomal RNA", at positions 524 to 776 of the family's 1533-position model. The record is from RNAcentral.
UACGAAAGGUGCAAGCGUUACUCGGAAUCACUGGGCGUAAAGCGCACGUAGGCGGACUCGCAGGUCAAUUGUGAAAUACCUGGGCCCAACCCGGGAACUGCAGUUGAAACCGCUUGUCUUGAAUACCUGAGAGGGUGGGGGAAUACCUGGUGGAGAAGUGAAAUUCGUAGAGAUCAGGUGGAACACCGGAGGCGAAGGCGCCUGCCUGGCAGUGUAUUGACGCUGAGGUGCGAAAGUGCGGGGAGCAAACAGG